Molecule: ribosomal RNA, 460 nt
Filed under: uncultured bacterium
Lineage: Bacteria
Description: partial 16S ribosomal RNA
Rfam family: Bacterial small subunit ribosomal RNA
Source: RNAcentral
CCUACGGGAGGCAGCAGUGAGGAAUAUUGGUCAAUGGACGAGAGUCUGAACCAGCUAUGUAGCGUGAAGGAUGACUGCCCUAUGGGUUGUAAACUUCUUUUAUAUGGGAAUAAAAUGUUUCACGUGUGGGAUUUUGUAUGUACCAUAUGAAUAAGGAUCGGCUAACUCCGUGCCAGCAGCCGCGGUAAUAUGGAGGAUCCGAGCGUUAUCCGGAUUUAUUGGGUUUAAAGGGAGCGUAGGUGGUUUGUUAAGUCAGUUGUGAAAGUUUGCGGCUCAACCUUAAAAAUGCAGUUGAAACUGGCAGUCUAGAGUACAGUAGAGGGGGGCGGAAUUCGUGGUGUAGCAGUGAAAUGCUUAGAUAUCACGAAGAACUCCGAUUGCGAAGGCAGCUCACUGGACUGCAACUGACACUGAGGCUCGAAAGUGUGGGUAUCAAACAGGAUUAGAUACCCCAGUAGUC